GUGCUCACUUCAGCAGCACAUAUACUAAAACCUGGAAAGAUACAGAGGAGAUUAGUACAGCCCGUGCACAAGGAUGACAAAUAAAUUCAUAAAGCAUUCCAUAUUAGA
Molecule: small nuclear RNA, 108 nt
Organism: Fukomys damarensis (Damara mole-rat)
Lineage: Eukaryota; Metazoa; Chordata; Mammalia; Rodentia; Bathyergidae
Source: Ensembl